GGCAUGUAUGCAUGUCUGUUUAUGUAUCUGCAUGUGUGUAUAUGUGUUUAUGUAUAUGCAGGCGUGUAUGCAUGUCUGUGUAAAUGCAUGUGUGUACUGUGUUUAUGUAUAUGCACGUGUGUAUGCAUGUUUGCACGUGUGUUUGCAUAUGCACAUGUGUGUAUGCUUGUCUGUGUGCAUGCAUGUCUGUGUGGUGUGUGAUGUGUGUUGGGUCAGAGCCAGACACAGGACUGGGGAUGCACUGACAUUGGUGCCUGGCCUGUCUUCAGAAAGGCUCAUGGCGGGAGGAGCAGAUUUGAGAACUCUGGUUGACGGCAACCUGGGCUUGGUAGAGGUUCCAGCAACCGCUGACAUUGCCACAAACCCCUGCCUCAGCCACGAAAAGCCCACUGAAGUGACCCGAAAGGAACCCCAGAGAGCUCCUCUGGGCACGGGCUGCAGCUUGGGGUCAGCCUUUGGGGGGGGGGCUGCCGGGGGCACACUGGGCCUGCCCCCUGCAGCUGCAGGCUGUGGUCGGGGAGUGCACGGGGGCAGCGGCCGCACUUCCGUGCAGUCUCCUCUGCUUCUCUGUUCUCCCUCACCUGGGUGCCCUUGGCGGAGAGCAGGUUCAAGCCUCAGUUAUCCUGUCUGGGGGUGUGGUCAUUGCCUUCGAACGCUCGCGUUUUCCGUGUUCUGUCAUGAGCUGAGCAGGCAGGAGCUGCAGCUGCCCCGUGGCAAGUUUGCUGGCGACAGGCAGCUGGUUAGGGGUCCUGGGUCCACUUGCUUUUCAGGAUUCUUUUCCUUGGGGGGAUUAUACGUUGUCAUAAAUGCCAUGGCCCGUGGACAGACCGGGUGCUGUUUCACAGUGUGGGUCCGGCUAAGGGCAGAGACAGGAGCAGCCCUCUUCCCACCCCUGCACCCCUGCACCCCUCGUUGUGGCGACACGGAGCAGAGGUCAUUCCAGCGAAAGGCCCCAGAUCUCACGGACACAGCCUCCUUCCCUUUGAAAUGGAUCACCGGGAGAAGCCGAGUUCCACUCUCCCUCCCGUUCCUGACUCUCCCUUGCGCGUGGCCAUCAGCACUGUUGUUAGAUGGUCUUUAUGUGGCGGCUGGGAGUGCUUUUAGUUUUUGAAAGCAUGGCAAGCUUUGAGGAGUCCAUUUGAACUCUGCAGAAACACGGAGUGGUUUUAAAAUCGCAAUAAUUGCAAAAGGUGACAUUUCCAUUUGACUUUGGGGGAACAACCAUCCAUUUCAAACACAGGAAAAAAAAAUACCACCGGAUUUUCAAGAGAAAGAGAGGGGAGAUAAUAAUAUUUUUCCAGUGGUAUUUGAAGAGUCAUUAGGAUAGGUGUGAGGAGGACUGUUCUCUGUGAAAUUACUUCGAGGAAGCUUUGGGAGUGCUCUCCCAGCCCAGCCUUGGAGAGGGGGCUUGGGGUGCAAGGUGGGGACCAUGGGGACCUUGCACUGUCUUCUUGGUUCCUGGCGCGUUGCCCAGGGCACUUGCUAAAUCAUUC
This 1493-nucleotide long non-coding RNA is filed under the name Oryctolagus cuniculus (rabbit). RNAcentral describes it as "lncRNA (ENSOCUG00000033727.1)". Lineage: Eukaryota; Metazoa; Chordata; Mammalia; Lagomorpha; Leporidae. The record is from RNAcentral.